ACAUAAUAAUUGACCUCACAGAACGUUAUAGAUUCACUUUCACAUUUUUUAGCCAUACCAUCAGCUAUAAAUCCUUUCCUAUAGGAAGUUCGGCUCAUGUAAAUAUGUAGCAUCUGACUCAUCAUCUUGCAUGAACUUGACUAGUAAACAUCCACCGUCGACUUUGAUAACCACUCUAUUUAUUAUGGCUUUUGUAGAUGGUGGUGAUUAUUAGAUGAUUAGUAUAUAAUGCUUGGUAACAUGCACCAAUGAUCCAGUACAACAUUGCCUUAGACAAGUUGAGAUAUAUAUGCCUAGCAAUUAAAUAGAUCAACUCUGUGUGACUAACCAAAUUACUUGUGUAGGUACUGCCUCACAUCAGAAUCGUAACUCCUACCCAAACGCACAAAAUUACAUAAUCGCCAUUUGUUCUACAAACAAAUAUACCUCAAAUGGUGUCCUUCUUAUGAGUAUACAUACAUCAAGAGAUAAGUGUAUAAGAAAAAAUCGAAAUCAUGAACAUUGAGACUAUUACAAAAAUCAUGAGAAAAGUGGGAAAACUUAUGACGCAUCCAAAAUCACAGUGCACAAAUUGUGGCAAUUGGUUGGACCCUGGUGAAACCUGUGGAUGUCGUUGAAUCACAUAUUUAGUGCGACAAACGACAAACGUAUAUAUUUUUUGGUAUCCAGUCUGGUCACUUGCAUUUGCAAAGUCGUCCAUACGAUUUAGAAAAUAUGUAUUGAUAAUUAAUUCGAACGAAAAAAUCUGGAUAAUGUACGUCACAAAAUAUACGUUUGUCAAAUAUUACGAGGACUUUCCUGAUGAUGGAGUGAAAACUAGAAAAAGCUUUUGAAUUUAUGCGUCAUGUAUCUAAACUUUAUGAAUUUAUCAUAUAUUUAUGAAUAUGUAACAAGUCUUGUGACCGGACUUUAUUGGGUAUCAAUAAAUCUAUAUCAACAAUGUAUCACA
Long non-coding RNA from Folsomia candida, 949 nucleotides. RefSeq lists it as uncharacterized. The record is from RefSeq and is a predicted model, not a curated record. The transcript has 2 exons. Lineage: Eukaryota; Metazoa; Arthropoda; Collembola; Entomobryomorpha; Isotomidae.